GCGGCUAUAGCUCAGCUGGGAGAGCGCUUGCAUGGCAUGCAAGAGGUCGACGGUUCGAUCCCGUCUAGCUCCACCA
Molecule: transfer RNA, 76 nt
Filed under: Pseudomonas aeruginosa
Lineage: Bacteria; Pseudomonadati; Pseudomonadota; Gammaproteobacteria; Pseudomonadales; Pseudomonadaceae
Description: tRNA-Ala
Rfam family: tRNA
About the family: Transfer RNA (tRNA) molecules are approximately 80 nucleotides in length. Their secondary structure includes four short double-helical elements and three loops (D, anti-codon, and T loops).
Source: RNAcentral